This 403-nucleotide ribosomal RNA is filed under the name bacterium. RNAcentral describes it as "partial 16S ribosomal RNA". It matches the Rfam family "Bacterial small subunit ribosomal RNA", at positions 355 to 776 of the family's 1533-position model. The record is from RNAcentral.
UGGGGAAUAUUGCACAAUGGAGGGAACUCUGAUGCAGCGACGCCGCGUGAACGAAGAAGGCUUUCGCGUCGUAAAGUUCUUUUAUAUGGGAAGAUAAUGACGGUACCAUAAGAAAAAGCCCCGGCUAACUACGUGCCAGCAGCCGCGGUAAUACGUAGGGGGCUAGCGUUGUCCGGAAUCACUGGGCGUAAAGGGUUCGCAGGCGGAAAUGCAAGUCAGGUGUAAAAGGCAGUAGCUUAACUACUGUAAGCAUUUGAAACUGCAUAUCUUGAGAAGAGUAGAGGUAAGUGGAAUUUUUCGGGUAGCGGUGAAAUGCGUAGAUAUUAAAGAGGAUACCGGUGGCGAAGGCGGGUUACUGGGCUCAUUCUGACGCUGAGGAACGAAAGCGUGGGUAGCAAACAGG